RNAcentral lists this ribosomal RNA (1005 nucleotides) under Triticum aestivum (bread wheat). RNAcentral's name for it is "partial small subunit ribosomal RNA". Lineage: Eukaryota; Viridiplantae; Streptophyta; Magnoliopsida; Poales; Poaceae. The record is from RNAcentral.
AUGUCAGCAAUCGCCUCAUCCAUGCUGGACAAAUGGGCAGUCCAAGGAGGAACCCACACUGAGUUUGAGAUUGAUGCAAGUAAAAAAUUCCAAACUUUGAGUUCUGAUGUCAUUUCCUGUGUGGCAUUUGGAAGUAGCUAUGAGGAAGGAAAGCGAGUUUUUCAAUUGCAAGAAGAACAGAUAAAACUUGCCCUCCUUGCAAUGAGAACCUUCUACUUUCCUGGCUUCAGGUUCGUACCGACAAAGAAGAACCGAAGAAGGCAUAGCCUAAACCAGGAAAUCCGAAGUUCUCUGCGCAAAUUGAUUGAGACCAAUGGAAGGAAGUGUGAGGACUCCAAAAAUUUGCUUGGAUUGAUGCUAUCAGCCAGCAAAACAGACAAUGGGUUUAAAAUGGGAAUUGAAGAGAUCAUUGAUGAGUGCAAGACAUUUUACUUUGCCGGUAAAGAAACAACUGCAAAUUUGUUAACAUGGGCAACACUUCUAUCGGCAUUGCAUAAAGAGUGGCAAGAUAAAGCACGCGAUGAAGUCCAUCAAGUAUGUGGCAAGAACAAGCACCCAAACGCGGAAAACCUGAAUGCUACAGCCUUUGUAAAUAUGGUGCUGAAGGAGACCCUCAGGCUCUACCCUCCAGCUUUGUCUCUCAGCAGGACAGCCACUAAGGAUGUCAAGCUGGGCAAACCUGACAUCCCUGCGGGCAUGCAGCUCAACCUGCCCCUUGUUGACAUUCACCAUGAUGUCGACAUAUGGGGUGCUGAUGCGGAGGAAUUCGAUCCGUCGAGGUUUGCAGAUGACAAGAGCUAUCACCUCGGCGCGUACUUCCCCUUUGGGAUUGGCCCUGCCAUCUGUGUUGGCCAGAAUAUUGCGAUGGUUGAGGCAAAGCUGGUGAUUGCAAUGGUCCUCCAGCGGUUUGUGAUUGAUGUCUCGCCAUCCUAUGUUCAUGCGCCGAUGAUGGUGAUGACCCUCCAACCCCAGUACGGUGCUCAAGUUCUUGUCCGCAAGAUCUGA